Molecule: ribosomal RNA, 586 nt
Filed under: uncultured bacterium
Lineage: Bacteria
Description: partial 16S ribosomal RNA
Rfam family: Bacterial small subunit ribosomal RNA
Source: RNAcentral
UGGGGAAUUUUGGACAAUGGGCGCAAGCCUGAUCCAGCAAUGCCGCGUGCAGGAUGAAGGCCUUCGGGUUGUAAACUGCUUUUGUACGGAACGAAAAGGCUCUGGCUAAUACCUGGGGCACAUGACGGUACCGUAAGAAUAAGCACCGGCUAACUACGUGCCAGCAGCCGCGGUAAUACGUAGGGUGCGAGCGUUAAUCGGAAUUACUGGGCGUAAAGCGUGCGCAGGCGGUUUUGUAAGACAGAGGUGAAAUCCCCGGGCUCAACCUGGGAACUGCCUUUGUGACUGCAAGGCUGGAGUGCGGCAGAGGGGGAUGGAAUUCCGCGUGUAGCAGUGAAAUGCGUAGAUAUGCGGAGGAACACCGAUGGCGAAGGCAAUCCCCUGGGCCUGCACUGACGCUCAUGCACGAAAGCGUGGGGAGCAAACAGGAUUAGAUACCCUGGUAGUCCACGCCCUAAACGAUGUCAACUGGUUGUUGGGUCUUAAUUGACUCAGUAACGAAGCUAACGCGUGAAGUUGGACCGCCUGGGGAGUACGGCCGCAAGGUUGAAACUCAAAUGAAUUGACGGGGUCAUAGCUGUUUCCU